CAGCAGCCGCGGGAAUUCGAAGGGGGCUAGCGUUGCUCGGAAUGACUGGGCGUAAAGGGCGCGUAGGCGGCGAUCAAAGUCAGGCGUGAAAUUCCUGGGCUCAACCUGGGGGCUGCGUUUGAUACUUGGUUGCUAGAGUGAGGAAGAGGGUCGUGGAAUUCCCAGUGUAGAGGUGAAAUUCGUAGAUAUUGGGAAGAACACCGGUGGCGAAGGCGGCGACCUGGUCCUUGACUGACGCUGAGGCGCGAAAGCGUGGGGAGCAAACAGGAUUAGAUACCCCUGUAGUCCCUGUCUCUUAUAC
Molecule: ribosomal RNA, 301 nt
Filed under: uncultured bacterium
Lineage: Bacteria
Description: partial 16S ribosomal RNA
Rfam family: Bacterial small subunit ribosomal RNA
Source: RNAcentral